RNAcentral lists this ribosomal RNA (301 nucleotides) under uncultured bacterium. Its description in RNAcentral is "partial 16S ribosomal RNA". It matches the Rfam family "Bacterial small subunit ribosomal RNA", at positions 509 to 807 of the family's 1533-position model. The record is from RNAcentral.
CAGCCGCCACGGUAAUACGAAGGUCCCAAGCGUUGUUCGGAAUCACUGGGCGUAAAGGGAGCGUAGGCGGCGUGGUAAGUCAGAUGUGAAAUCCCGGGGCUCAACCCCGGAACUGCAUCCGAUACUGCCAUGCUUGAGGGUUGGAGAGGUGACUGGAAUUCUCGGUGUAGCAGUGAAAUGCGUGGAUAUCGAGAGGAACACUCGUGGCGAAGGCGAGUCACUGGACAACAUCUGACGCUGAGGCUCGAAGGCUAGGGUAGCGAAAGGGAUUAGAUACCCCGGUAGUCCCUGUCUCUUAUAC